Molecule: long non-coding RNA, 774 nt
Organism: Pleuronectes platessa (European plaice)
Lineage: Eukaryota; Metazoa; Chordata; Actinopteri; Pleuronectiformes; Pleuronectidae
Exons: 3
Source: RefSeq, a predicted model, not a curated record
GUGCUGACAGUGUGGACACACUGUUCCGAGCCGUUGAACUCUAUGUGGUGGUGCUGCUGUAAGAUAAUGUUUCUAAUCUUUGGCUGGUUGGUCGGGAUGAAUCCAGCACACUAACCUGCAGCUGUCCCAGUCAGACUCUCUGCUUAGCAGGCUCCUGAGAGACCAACGAGAGCGGCGGCUGGGAGAGGGACUACGAGACCAUGAGCAAGACGGUGGCAGGAGAAGGUCCUGUGAAGUGCUUUGCUGACCUUGAUCAACCCCUUCCAUUCCUGGUCCUGCUGCGGUGGGUUCGACUGUGGCGGCCAAAGCGUGACGGUCUGGGGCUUGGUGAGCAAGACCAGGACUCUGUGUCCGAGGAUGGUGGCAUGACAGUCAGCGUUGGAACAGGGAUGGGCUGAGCCAGGGUGAUAGCUUCUGGUCCCACAGGAGAAGACGUAGUCAUCUUCAAAGCUGUCUACUGAUACAUUUUCUCUUUUAGUCACAUUAAAGGCAUUCAGGCACAGACAUGUGGUCGCUGCAUCUCUAGAGCUGAGACUGAACCAUGACCAACUGUGGUGUUCCAGUCAUGCUUGUGUUUGAUAUAAUUUAGUAACAGGGUGGGUAUAAAAAAAUCUGGUACUCCCUGCAUUCAAAUCAGCACUGGCUUCUUUAAGUAAAACUAACCAUAUUAAAAAGAUGAUCAAACCUUCCCCAUAUUUCUUGUGAACUUCAAUUUUCUGCCUUCCCCAUUAUUGGUAAAAAAAACAGUGGUUGGGUGUUCCUUCACAGUCAAUG